ACGCCGCGUGGAGGAUGAAGGUCUUCGGAUUGUAAACUCCUGUCAUUGGUGAACAAGGUCCGCGGUUAACUGCCGUUGGAUUUGAUAGUAGCCGAAGAGGAAGAGACGGCUAACUCUGUGCCAGCACCCUCGGUGACUGAGCGGGCUGGCAAGGCGCAUA
This 160-nucleotide ribosomal RNA is filed under the name uncultured bacterium. RNAcentral describes it as "partial 16S ribosomal RNA". It matches the Rfam family "Bacterial small subunit ribosomal RNA", at positions 394 to 539 of the family's 1533-position model. The record is from RNAcentral.